CCCUUAGAUGUCCGGGGCUGCACGCGCGCUACACUGAAGGAAUCAGCGUGCUAAAACCAUUGUCGAAAGGCGUUGGUAAACCCAUUAAAAUCCUACGUGAUUGGGAUCGGGAAUUGCAAUUAUUUCCCUUGAACGAGGAAUUCCCAGUAAGUGUGGGUCAUAAGCUCGCGUUGAUUACGUCCCUGCCCUUUGUACACACCGCCCGUCGCUGCCCGGGACUGAGCCGUUUCGAGAAAAGCGGGGACUGCUGCUGUCGGGGCUUUCGGGCCUUGGCUUCGGUGGAAACCGCUUUAAUCGCANUNGCUUGGNCCGGGCAAAANUCGUANCA
This 328-nucleotide ribosomal RNA is filed under the name uncultured eukaryote. RNAcentral's name for it is "partial 18S ribosomal RNA". It matches the Rfam family "Eukaryotic small subunit ribosomal RNA", at positions 1470 to 1796 of the family's 1831-position model. The record is from RNAcentral.